AUGGGAAUGGAAGAUUAGUAUGCCGCCCUUCACUGGCCGUGGGGAGAGAUGCAUUUUUGUAUUCAGAAUAUAACCUUGCAAAUGAGAUCAAACAUUUGAAGAGCUAUGGGAAAGGCAAUAAACCAAAGUGGGAUUCUUCGUCACUUGUCCAGCAUGAAUUAUUACUUGCUGGUUAAGCAGAACCUAUGGGAAGAUCAAGAAAUGUCACUUCUGAGAAAAAAAAAAUGUCUAAUGCAAGGAGUGAAGAGAGCUUUUUAUAUCUUACACUGACCACAACACACAGUUCAGAAAACUUAAAUAACCCUAACUAAAAUUUGAAAGGUGCUUCAAAGCAUAGAAAGUACCUUGACAUGUAUUUUCUCAUUGGAUUCUUAUAAACCUAUAAAACGGUGCUUACUCCAUUUCAGAAAUGAGAAAAUGGCGACCCAGAAAAUAAAGCAGCAUGCACAAGACUACAUGCUACACAGGGGACUGAUCUGACACCAAAACUUGACUGCAGAUUGUCUGCUUUCAACUCUCACCAGCAAAACAGACAAAAGUGCUUUGGACAUGCAAGUGUUUAUUAUGUUGCAUUUUGGAACUCCAGACCUAAAACCAAACAUAGACAAAUAUAAAACAAAACAAAAAAACACUAAAGAUCAAACCCAUUCUCAAACCCAAACACCCAGAAAAUAAAAGGAAAUUAUUAUUAUUUUUUUCUCAGGGGAAGCAAGUGGUUGAUUUCAUGUGGGAUUAACUCUCAACUCUGAUGAACCUCAUGGUCUCCUGGAUCUUCCCAAACCAAGGCUCUGGGACAGCAAUUAAUCAGAUGGAAAGUCUGGGGAUUUAUCUCUCCACCAUCACUGCUUUCUGCUGAAUGCUGACUUAAAGAUGUGAAUCCACUCAAUUAUCUCACAGUUAGGAAGAAGCGAAUCUAUAGUUCAACGACACAGAGAUGAGAGCCCAGGACAAUCCCUAAGAGUCUGACUGACAAUUAAUUAGAUAGAUAGCAUCUUAUACUUGGGAAAGACCUUAGAGGUCUCAUCCAAUCUCCCUCCUGCUAUAAGAAUCCUUCCCUAGCAAGCCUGACAAAUCACCACCUGGUGUUGGCUCCUGAGAUGGGAAUUUUCAUUGUCUCGAGGUACCCGUUCCACUGCUGUGAGAUGUGCUCUUGUUGUUAGAAUGGAUUGCCUUCUUGGGAUCAAAUUAUUUCCCCUUUUAAGCCGUCAGCCCACUUUUUUGGCCUGAAAGAUUAUGGUUAUUUGUGCAUUCACAUGCUAUUCUUUGAAUAUUUGAAGUCAGCUCUCUUGACUUCCUUAAACUAUCUCUUCUCUAUUCAAAAUAUACCCAGCUUCUCCAACUUUUUCUAAAUUCAUUGAUUUUUAAGACUUUCUACAAAUAGUUCCAUUUUUGUACAUUUUUUUUUUGGAGAAAUGUUCAUAGCUGAAUAGGGUCUAUUUUUCCUACUUAAUCUGACCCAUGUACUUUCAAUACCUUUACUGGUCAUUAGCUCUAUACCAGUAAGGCCAAAUAUAUGGUGGUGGGUGAUAGUAUCAGCUCCCUCAACUCUGCAACCCACUGGAGCUUACCAAAUGAGAACUGGUUUUCUUCAUGCAAUUUACCUCAAAAGCCACACCAUCAGCAAGAGGACCAGAACUAAUUGUCAAAGUGCAAGCCACAACGAACACACAAUUGUCACUUAAAACCAGUUUUUGCUUCAGUAAGCUUUUUUUUUCUAUCUAGUAUUUUAUCUCUUAAAAUAAAGAGAAAAAACAGGUAAGAAACUAGUUUACCAAUAACUUUGACAAAUAGCCCCUGAGGUAGAGGGAGUGACAUUUGGAAAGUUGGUAAAAGCCACCAGAGUCAAAGCAACCUAAACAAAAAAAAAAAAGAAAAAAAAAAAAAAACUUGUGGCUAUGCUACACUCAACCAGGCCACACCUGUUUUCAGAAACCACUGAGUGUUCUGCAGAUACGCAGAGAUGCCAGGUCUGACAGUCUCUAAGGCAACCAGAUACCGAUCAUUGUCACACAGUAAGAAAUAGGAAGAGACACUGGUAACAAACAUUAAGCCUGGUUUUCUCAUCUGCUCAACAGUGUAACGGUAGGUGGAGUCAGCUCUGCCUUGAGACUCUUCACUUGUCCAGUCUCAAACUCUAAACACCUACUGGAGUGCAGGGCAUCCUGCAGCUGGAUAAGUAACUGAAGAUCUGAAGCCCACCUCUUAAGCGUAAUCCCGCAAUCGAAUGUGGACUUUGAAAUGGGCUUUUGAGGAGAAAAGGACAAGCUGCAGUUUCCCCCGUCUUCUAAUUUCCUCAUCUGCGAAAUAAAACAGAGUGUUUAUAUGUCCAGAGAGUGGUGAGCCAGUGAACUGGGAUGACACAAAGAGAUAACUUAUCUAAUUUGGUUCCCAAACGGGUGGGUUGGAUUUUAGUUAAUAAGUCACCAUCAUAGGAAAAUAUAAGCAGGUCCCUGCUUUCUGAGCAUUUAUGUCUAUUGAAGAUGUACAGUAUCAUGCUUUCCCUUUCUGAGACAUUUCCAAUCUGUAAUAUGUCAAUAAGAAUAAAGCAAAUGGGCAUUUUGUAAGAAGUUGGCAGAGGUGCAGAAUGCAUUUAGGAAUUGGAAUGAGUGCUUGUCUACUGCUUUUCAAAUCAUUGCAUUGGGAUUACUUAUGCCUGUGUUUUUCUUGCUCCCUAGACUGAGCUCCUUGACAUCAGGGGCUCAUUUUUGUUUAUUGGUGUCGUUCCCACUCUUCCU
This 2735-nucleotide long non-coding RNA is filed under the name Homo sapiens (human). RNAcentral describes it as "HSALNT0183217". The record is from RNAcentral. Lineage: Eukaryota; Metazoa; Chordata; Mammalia; Primates; Hominidae.